Molecule: ribosomal RNA, 2876 nt
Filed under: Pseudomonas aeruginosa
Lineage: Bacteria; Pseudomonadati; Pseudomonadota; Gammaproteobacteria; Pseudomonadales; Pseudomonadaceae
Description: bacterial LSU rRNA
Rfam family: Bacterial large subunit ribosomal RNA
Source: RNAcentral
AGCGCAUACGGUGGAUGCCUUGGCAGUCAGAGGCGAUGAAAGACGUGGUAGCCUGCGAAAAGCUUCGGGGAGUCGGCAAACAGACUUUGAUCCGGAGAUCUCUGAAUGGGGGAACCCACCUAGGAUAACCUAGGUAUCUUGUACUGAAUCCAUAGGUGCAAGAGGCGAACCAGGGGAACUGAAACAUCUAAGUACCCUGAGGAAAAGAAAUCAACCGAGAUUCCCUUAGUAGUGGCGAGCGAACGGGGAUUAGCCCUUAAGCUUCAUUGAUUUUAGCGGAACGCUCUGGAAAGUGCGGCCAUAGUGGGUGAUAGCCCCGUACGCGAAAGGAUCUUUGAAGUGAAAUCGAGUAGGACGGAGCACGAGAAACUUUGUCUGAACAUGGGGGGACCAUCCUCCAAGGCUAAAUACUACUGACUGACCGAUAGUGAACCAGUACCGUGAGGGAAAGGCGAAAAGAACCCCGGAGAGGGGAGUGAAAUAGAACCUGAAACCGUAUGCGUACAAGCAGUGGGAGCCUACUUGUUAGGUGACUGCGUACCUUUUGUAUAAUGGGUCAGCGACUUAUAUUCAGUGGCAAGCUUAACCGUAUAGGGUAGGCGUAGCGAAAGCGAGUCUUAAUAGGGCGUUUAGUCGCUGGGUAUAGACCCGAAACCGGGCGAUCUAUCCAUGAGCAGGUUGAAGGUUAGGUAACACUGACUGGAGGACCGAACCCACUCCCGUUGAAAAGGUAGGGGAUGACUUGUGGAUCGGAGUGAAAGGCUAAUCAAGCUCGGAGAUAGCUGGUUCUCCUCGAAAGCUAUUUAGGUAGCGCCUCAUGUAUCACUCUGGGGGGUAGAGCACUGUUUCGGCUAGGGGGUCAUCCCGACUUACCAAACCGAUGCAAACUCCGAAUACCCAGAAGUGCCGAGCAUGGGAGACACACGGCGGGUGCUAACGUCCGUCGUGAAAAGGGAAACAACCCAGACCGCCAGCUAAGGUCCCAAAGUUGUGGUUAAGUGGUAAACGAUGUGGGAAGGCUUAGACAGCUAGGAGGUUGGCUUAGAAGCAGCCAUCCUUUAAAGAAAGCGUAAUAGCUCACUAGUCGAGUCGGCCUGCGCGGAAGAUGUAACGGGGCUCAAACCACACACCGAAGCUGCGGGUGUCACGUAAGUGACGCGGUAGAGGAGCGUUCUGUAAGCCUGUGAAGGUGAGUUGAGAAGCUUGCUGGAGGUAUCAGAAGUGCGAAUGCUGACAUGAGUAACGACAAUGGGUGUGAAAAACACCCACGCCGAAAGACCAAGGGUUCCUGCGCAACGUUAAUCGACGCAGGGUUAGUCGGUUCCUAAGGCGAGGCUGAAAAGCGUAGUCGAUGGGAAACAGGUUAAUAUUCCUGUACUUCUGGUUACUGCGAUGGAGGGACGGAGAAGGCUAGGCCAGCUUGGCGUUGGUUGUCCAAGUUUAAGGUGGUAGGCUGAAAUCUUAGGUAAAUCCGGGGUUUCAAGGCCGAGAGCUGAUGACGAGUCGUCUUUUAGAUGACGAAGUGGUUGAUGCCAUGCUUCCAAGAAAAGCUUCUAAGCUUCAGGUAACCAGGAACCGUACCCCAAACCGACACAGGUGGUCGGGUAGAGAAUACCAAGGCGCUUGAGAGAACUCGGGUGAAGGAACUAGGCAAAAUGGCACCGUAACUUCGGGAGAAGGUGCGCCGGCUAGGGUGAAGGAUUUACUCCGUAAGCUCUGGCUGGUCGAAGAUACCAGGCCGCUGCGACUGUUUAUUAAAAACACAGCACUCUGCAAACACGAAAGUGGACGUAUAGGGUGUGACGCCUGCCCGGUGCCGGAAGGUUAAUUGAUGGGGUUAGCGCAAGCGAAGCUCUUGAUCGAAGCCCCGGUAAACGGCGGCCGUAACUAUAACGGUCCUAAGGUAGCGAAAUUCCUUGUCGGGUAAGUUCCGACCUGCACGAAUGGCGUAACGAUGGCGGCGCUGUCUCCACCCGAGACUCAGUGAAAUUGAAAUCGCUGUGAAGAUGCAGUGUAUCCGCGGCUAGACGGAAAGACCCCGUGAACCUUUACUGUAGCUUUGCACUGGACUUUGAGCCUGCUUGUGUAGGAUAGGUGGGAGGCUUUGAAGCGUGGACGCCAGUUCGCGUGGAGCCAUCCUUGAAAUACCACCCUGGCAUGCUUGAGGUUCUAACUCUGGUCCGUAAUCCGGAUCGAGGACAGUGUAUGGUGGGCAGUUUGACUGGGGCGGUCUCCUCCUAAAGAGUAACGGAGGAGUACGAAGGUGCGCUCAGACCGGUCGGAAAUCGGUCGCAGAGUAUAAAGGCAAAAGCGCGCUUGACUGCGAGACAGACACGUCGAGCAGGUACGAAAGUAGGUCUUAGUGAUCCGGUGGUUCUGUAUGGAAGGGCCAUCGCUCAACGGAUAAAAGGUACUCCGGGGAUAACAGGCUGAUACCGCCCAAGAGUUCAUAUCGACGGCGGUGUUUGGCACCUCGAUGUCGGCUCAUCACAUCCUGGGGCUGAAGCCGGUCCCAAGGGUAUGGCUGUUCGCCAUUUAAAGUGGUACGCGAGCUGGGUUUAGAACGUCGUGAGACAGUUCGGUCCCUAUCUGCCGUGGACGUUUGAGAUUUGAGAGGGGCUGCUCCUAGUACGAGAGGACCGGAGUGGACGAACCUCUGGUGUUCCGGUUGUCACGCCAGUGGCAUUGCCGGGUAGCUAUGUUCGGAAAAGAUAACCGCUGAAAGCAUCUAAGCGGGAAACUUGCCUCAAGAUGAGAUCUCACUGGGAACUUGAUUCCCCUGAAGGGCCGUCGAAGACUACGACGUUGAUAGGCUGGGUGUGUAAGCGUUGUGAGGCGUUGAGCUAACCAGUACUAAUUGCCCGUGAGGCUUGACC